GAUCAUGGCUCGGGAUGAACGCUAGCGGCAGGCUUAACACAUGCAAGUCGAGGGGCAGCGGGGAGUAGCAAUACUCCGCCGGCGACCGGCGCACGGGUGAGUAACGCGUAUCCAACCUGCCCAUCACUUGGGAAUAACCUUGCGAAAGUAAGACUAAUGCCCAAUGAUAUCCCACGAAGGCAUCCGAAUGGGAUUAAAGAUUUAUCGGUGAUGGAUGGGGAUGCGUCUGAUUAG
Molecule: ribosomal RNA, 234 nt
Filed under: uncultured bacterium
Lineage: Bacteria
Description: partial 16S ribosomal RNA
Rfam family: Bacterial small subunit ribosomal RNA
Source: RNAcentral